Molecule: ribosomal RNA, 253 nt
Filed under: uncultured bacterium
Lineage: Bacteria
Description: partial 16S ribosomal RNA
Rfam family: Bacterial small subunit ribosomal RNA
Source: RNAcentral
UACGAAGGGGGCUAGCGUUGCUCGGAAUCACUGGGCGUAAAGGGUUCGUAGGUGGCCUGCUAAGUCAGACGUGAAAUCCCUCAGCUUAACUGGGGAACUGCGUCUGAGACUGGUGGGCUUGAGUGCAGGAGAGGAACGCGGAAUUCCAGGUGUAGCGGUGAAAUGCGUAGAUAUCUGGAGGAACACCGGUGGCGAAGGCGGCGUUCUGGACUGCUACUGACACUGAGGAACGAAAGCCAGGGGAGCAAACGGG